UACGGGGGGAGCAAGCGUUGUUCGGAUUUAUUGGGCGUAAAGGGCGCGUAGGCGGAGAGAUAAGUCAGAUGUGAAAUCCCGGGGCUCAACCCCGGAACAGCAUAUGAAACUAUUUUUCUAAGAGGGUAGGCGGAGAAAAUGGAAUUCCACAAGUAGCGGUGAAAUGCGUAGAGAUGUGGAAGAACACCAGUGGCGAAGGCGGUUUUCUAGCUUAUACCUGACGCUAAAGCGCGAAAGCAAGGGGAGCAAACAGG
This 254-nucleotide ribosomal RNA is filed under the name uncultured bacterium. Its description in RNAcentral is "partial 16S ribosomal RNA". It matches the Rfam family "Bacterial small subunit ribosomal RNA", at positions 524 to 776 of the family's 1533-position model. The record is from RNAcentral.